CUGGGCGGGAAUUAGGAUUGCGAC
Molecule: non-coding RNA, 24 nt
Filed under: Cricetulus griseus (Chinese hamster)
Lineage: Eukaryota; Metazoa; Chordata; Mammalia; Rodentia; Cricetidae
Source: RNAcentral